Long non-coding RNA from Thrips palmi, 1243 nucleotides. RefSeq lists it as uncharacterized. Lineage: Eukaryota; Metazoa; Arthropoda; Insecta; Thysanoptera; Thripidae. The record is from RefSeq and is a predicted model, not a curated record. The transcript has 2 exons.
UUCGUUUCGACGCCUCGCCGCGUCUCUCCACCGUCUCUCCUCUCCGCGGCGCCCCCUGGCCGUGCCCCGACGCCCCCCUCCACAGGCCCCGCAUUCCUUUCUUCUCAUUCAACCUUUAUUCGCUGAAUAAAAAGUGUGUAGCUGGCUGGAGUAGAGUGUAGAGGCGGAGCGUAGCCGAGCGGCGUCUCCCGGACCUGGAGGCUGGAGUCCCAUCAUCAAGGGAUCCCAUCCCGACAGGUCUAGCCCACGGCCCGGCUGCCCUGGCUGCCCGGCCCACGCUCCAGCUAGCCUCCCAUACGCCAAAAGGGCCACCGCAUUCCUUUCCAGUGAUGCGGCCCUUCAGCCCUUCACUUGUCGAAGGAGGAAAAGCUUCCACGUCUGUGAGGACAUGUGAGGCAAGGGAUUUGAGGUUGCACCAGUUCCUUUGUGGUUGCUUGUCAGGGAGCUUUUUACCGGGCCGUUUGAUUCUAGCAGUGGUUUCGCUGGCCGUGCCGUGGGGCUCGCGGCUCCGGUCUGCCUCGCGAAGCUGGCCGCUACUGCCGCCGCCCGCCACCGCCGGAGAGGCCAUCUUGCCCACCUAACGGUCCGCCGCGCCACAUCGCAUUUCUGCCAAGCUUUGCGAGAUAGCCAACCUACCUGGCCGGCCGGGCGCAGCCGGGCGUACCGGCAGCGCAGCGCAGCGCUCAGCCUCACGGGCUGCACCACCACGGUGCACCGGAGGAAUGCUGCAGCUGAUCUAAUUCCUUAUGUGGCCGGGCUGUGCCGGGCUCGGGUACCCGGGGCCCUGGGAACGCCGUCCGGCCGGAGGAACGCCGCUACACGGCGUGGACGUCCAAACCCGUGCCACCCGCCAGGCCCGCCCUCUCAUGUUUACGCUGCAAAACGUGAUACAGUGCCAAAGGCAGAGGCAGGCUUUACUUGAGCCGCCUCUUAUCUGCAUGGACACGUCGAUAGGACACGUCCGAGGACGCCUUUGUCGUCGCUCGGAGCAGCAAUGCCCCUGGGAGGUAGGCAGCUCGCAGUGCCUCGCACCGACCGACCAAGGCCCAGGCCCCGCAACUUCGGACGAUCCAUCCUGAGUUUCGGUGACUGGAAUCAAUUUAUGAAUAGACAUUCCUAGCAGAAACCAGAGUGCAAUGGAAGAGAAAUAUCAUGAACCGAAAAUUGACGCCAAAUAUCGCAAGUUGUCUUUAACUCUGUGUUCAUUUACCGUUCAAAAAUGAAAGGAAACCUAAUUUUACGA